Tachyglossus aculeatus (Australian echidna) is the source of this 251-nucleotide long non-coding RNA. RefSeq lists it as uncharacterized. The transcript is spliced from 3 exons. Lineage: Eukaryota; Metazoa; Chordata; Mammalia; Monotremata; Tachyglossidae. The record is from RefSeq and is a predicted model, not a curated record.
CACAGACUGGUAUUGGACCUUGGUGGAGGUCACAUUCUACAGGCUUCAUUGAAGUUGUGAAUCAGCUCACAUGUGCCAAGUCUCUCCAGCAUGUAGAGGAGGAUUCUUCACCCCAGUCCAUCAAGAACUGUAUAAGAUUUCCUUUCUGAUCCCCAGAGUGUUCUGCAGAAGACCAAUAAGGAAGCCAUUUACAUUGCUUGCAGCCUCCCUAUUGCAAUCAUUAAUAAUCUGCUGUCAGUCAAGCAAUAAAU